This 497-nucleotide ribosomal RNA is filed under the name uncultured bacterium. RNAcentral describes it as "partial 16S ribosomal RNA". It matches the Rfam family "Bacterial small subunit ribosomal RNA", at positions 28 to 507 of the family's 1533-position model. The record is from RNAcentral.
GAUGAACGCUGGCGGCGUGCCUAAUACAUGCAAGUCGAGCGAACAGACGAGGAGCUUGCUCCUCUGACGUUAGCGGCGGACGGGUGAGUAACACGUGGAUAACCUACCUAUAAGACUGGGAUAACUUCGGGAAACCGGAGCUAAUACCGGAUAAUAUAUUGAACCGCAUGGUUCAAUAGUGAAAGACGGUUUUGCUGUCACUUAUAGAUGGAUCCGCGCCGCAUUAGCUAGUUGGUAAGGUAACGGCUUACCAAGGCAACGAUGCGUAGCCGACCUGAGAGGGUGAUCGGGCACACUGGAACUGAGACACGGUCCAGACUCCUACGGGAGGCAGCAGUAGGGAAUCUUCCGCAAUGGGCGAAAGCUUGACGGAGCAACGUCGCGUGAGUGAUGAAGGUCUUCGGAUCGUAAAACUCUGUUAUUAGGGAAGAACAAAUGUGUAAGUAACUAUGCACGUCUUGACGGUACCUAAUCAGAAAGCCACGGCUAACUACGUG